GAUGAACGCUGGCGGCGUGCCUAACACAUGCAAGUCGAACGAGAAACCUUUGAAAGAGACUUCGGUCAAUUGAUAAGAAUUUCUAGUGGCGGACGGGUGAGUAACACGUGGAUAACCUGCCCUAAACAGGGGGAUAACUAUGAGAAAUUAUAGCUAAAACCCCAUAAGCUCACAUUGUCGCAUGACAGAGUGAGAAAAUAUUUAUAGGUUUAGGAGGGGUCCGCGUCUGAUUAGCUAGUUGGUGGGGUAAUGGCCUACCAAGGCGACGAUCAGUAGCCGGCCUGAGAGGGCGGACGGCCACAUUGGGACUGAGACACGGCCCAAACUCCUACGGGAGGCAGCAGUGGGGAAUAUUGCACAAUGGGCGAAAGCCUGAUGCAGCAACGCCGCGUGAAGGAUGAAGGUUUUCGGAUUGUAAACUUCUAUCAAUGGGGAAGAAAAAAAUGACGGUACCCAAAUAAGAAGCCCCGGCUAACUACGUGCCAGCAGCCGCGGUAAUACGUAGGGGGCAAGCGUUAUCCGGAUUUACUGGGUGUAAAGGGUGAGUAGGCGGUCUGUUAAGUCAUAUGUGAAACCUAUGGGCUCAACCCAUAGACUGCAUAAGAAACUGAUAGACUAGAGUGCAGGAGAGGUAAGUGGAAUUCCUAGUGUAGCGGUGAAAUGCGUAGA
Molecule: ribosomal RNA, 669 nt
Filed under: uncultured bacterium
Lineage: Bacteria
Description: bacterial SSU rRNA
Rfam family: Bacterial small subunit ribosomal RNA
Source: RNAcentral